RNAcentral lists this ribosomal RNA (465 nucleotides) under uncultured bacterium. RNAcentral's name for it is "partial 16S ribosomal RNA". It matches the Rfam family "Bacterial small subunit ribosomal RNA", at positions 338 to 795 of the family's 1533-position model. The record is from RNAcentral.
CCUACGGGUGGCAGCAGUGGGGAAUAUUGCGCAAUGGGCGAAAGCCUGACGCAGCGACGCCGCGUGAGGGAUGAAGGUCUUCGGAUCGUAAACCUCUGUCAGCAGGGAAGAACGGUCACUGUGCUAAUCAGCAGUGAAUUGACGGUACCUGCAAAGGAAGCACCGGCUAACUCCGUGCCAGCAGCCGCGGUAAUACGGAGGGUGCGAGCGUUAAUCGGAAUUACUGGGCGUAAAGCGCUCGUAGGUGGUAUGUCAAGUCAAGGGUGAAAUCCCCGCGCUCAACGUGGGAACUGCCUUUGAUACUGGCAAACUGGAGUGUGUGAGAGGAUAGUGGAAUUCCAGGUGUAGGAGUGAAAUGCGUAGAUAUCUGGAGGAACAUCAGUGGCGAAGGCGACUAUCUGGCACAUAACUGACGCUGAGGAGCGAAAGCGUGGGUAGCAAACAGGAUUAGAUACCCGAGUAGUC